This 219-nucleotide long non-coding RNA is filed under the name Elaeis guineensis (African oil palm). RNAcentral's name for it is "long non-coding RNA (EGUI_LNC036050)". The record is from RNAcentral. Lineage: Eukaryota; Viridiplantae; Streptophyta; Magnoliopsida; Arecales; Arecaceae.
CGGCAGAAAAGAAUGAUAAGGACAUUGCUAAUUAAACAAUGUUUGAAAUGCCUAGUUGAAUGAAGAUUACGUUAAUGCAUGUAAUGAAUAUAAUUAACAAUAUCAUAUAAAUCCUUUUUUUUACAUGCCUUCCUUUAUUUUACAUAUAAAUUCCUGUUACAUGCCUGCCUUUCUUCUUUUAAAUAUAAAUUCUUGUUUUACAUCUGUUUGCAUCUAUAC